Molecule: ribosomal RNA, 301 nt
Filed under: uncultured bacterium
Lineage: Bacteria
Description: partial 16S ribosomal RNA
Rfam family: Bacterial small subunit ribosomal RNA
Source: RNAcentral
CAGUAGCCGCGGUAAAACGUAGGGUGCAAGCGUUAAUCGGAAUUACUGGGCGUAAAGCGUGCGCAGGCGGUUCCGCAAGUCAGAUGUGAAAUCCCCGGGCUCAACCUGGGAACUGCAUUUGAAACUACGGGGCUAGAGUGUGUCAGAGGGGGGUGAAAUUCCACGUGUAGCAGUGAAAUGCGUAGAGAUGUGGAGGAACACCAAUGGCGAAGGCAGCCCCCUGGGAUGACACUGACGCUCAUGCACGAAAGCGUGGGGAGCAAACAGGAUUAGAUACCCCCGUAGUCCCUGUCUCUUAUAC